RNAcentral lists this long non-coding RNA (1641 nucleotides) under Oryza sativa Indica Group (long-grained rice). Its description in RNAcentral is "lncRNA OsKYG_02g0012130". The record is from RNAcentral. Lineage: Eukaryota; Viridiplantae; Streptophyta; Magnoliopsida; Poales; Poaceae.
AUGAGGCCCAAGCAAACGGAAGGGAGCAGCAUACAAGCAGCAGCGUCGGCAACAACAGGUGGCAUCGAAAGAUCAUUUGGACUUAGCGGAGCUGAAGCUCCCGGUGGCGGCGACUUGGGCGGCCGCCAAUCUGAGAUGCCCAAGGAAGAUCAGAGGACAUCUAAGCAUGUCCCCAUUAAUUCUACCAUGAACAAAGAGGAGAAAUGGCUGGACAAAGUUCUAGAUCGGAUAUUGGAGAAGUUUGAACAAAUGGAGGCCAAGCGCAUGCAAGAGGAGAAGAUCAAUCGGAUAUUUCAAAAGUUGGAAGAGAUAGAGGUUCGUAGGAGCAAGGCUUCCGAGGAAAUAAUUGCAGCCAUGAGGGCAACCACCGCUGUUCUCAAGGCUACAUCACCUACAGCACCCAUGGCACCACCUACUCCAGUGCCUACCAAGUGUUUGACAGAAUGCCCCAACAACAACUUCACUUGGGCAACGGCGAGUUCAAGUCACAUUGGUGAGGAUACUGCUCUAACAGCUACCUGGGAGCUAGGAGACAACAAGGACAAGGGCCACGCCCCCUGCAUCGUCACUAAGGACUCACCCGAGGUCACGCCCACCAUGUGUUCAACGAAAUGCUCCGGUCCUACCAUCAAGCCCGAUCUCACUGUGGCUGUAGUGGUUACGUCCGCCACCACUGCCGCGGCCUCUAUGGAGUUGGUAGCCGCUAGGAACGCAAUCGGUGCCACUGACAUCAACAAUCUUGACCACCCCAAGGUGCCUAUGAAGUGUUCGAUGAAAUGUACUGAGAGUGACAAUAAGCCACUGAUGGAACACCCCAAGAAAAACCCAUGGCCACCUGCCUGGUCAGGAUGGAAGAAGUGGUAUAUGACCUGGACUGCAAUCAAUCAUCAUUGGAUGAGAUUCUAUUUCGUCCCACCCUGGCCUCCACCAAGUCUAGUAAGUUCUUUGGCAUGGGUGCAUUUUUGUAUUGGAGCUCUUAUACUUCAAAGGGUGGUUUUAUCAAAUGAAAUGGUUGAGUUGGAGCCCUGGCCUCCACCACAUGAAGCAAGUUUCAGAAUUUUGCCUUUCCAAACUAGUAGCAGGAAAUGUUACAAUUAUGUCACUGCUUUGAGUAUAAUUGCAUGGGAUGAGAAGAGGACAAGGAGUAGUAGAAUUAUUGACACUAGUUUUGAGGAAGGGACACAGGAAUGUUGGAAUCCAUAUCUAGCCUUGCCAAUCCCCAGCUAUUUCAGGACCAGAUUGCAAUGGAUGCCACCUUGGCUGCCAUUAGUUGGUUUGCUGGAAGCUAGAGUAGGGAAGGGUUGCACUACUGAUUUUGCUGCAAGUAUAAUUCCUUGGAAUGAGCAAAAGAAAAUGAUGACUAUUGAAACUUCCACUUGCUUUGAGCAGAAAAUGCACCAGUUUUGGGCUUUGAUUUUCCAGGGGAUGUUGCUCAACUACUACCCAACUAUAGUGGAGAAAUGGAAUAUGAGAAUAAUUUGCAUGGUGAUAUCAGAAUCUGAAUCAUGUUUGGAAUCAAAUUACAUUGGUUUGAAUGUUGAAAGAGAUUUCCUAUAUGUGAUUGCUGAAGAAAAAGGUUGCAAAAGGAUGAAAGGAAUGGAAGUAGACACUAAUUCAAUUCAUGAUGAGAAGUAUACUUUU